CUCAGGUUGACCUCGGAUCAGGUAGGGAUACCCGCUGAACUUAAGCAUAUCAAUAAGCCGGAGGAA
This 66-nucleotide ribosomal RNA is filed under the name Penicillium janthinellum. RNAcentral's name for it is "partial 28S ribosomal RNA". The record is from RNAcentral. Lineage: Eukaryota; Fungi; Ascomycota; Eurotiomycetes; Eurotiales; Aspergillaceae.